UCUGGUGGCCUAGUGGUUAGAGCGUCCGCUUCGGAUGCGGAAGGUCGUGAGUUCGAUUGCUGACCGAGUCAU
This is a non-coding RNA of Potamilus streckersoni, 72 nucleotides long. The record is from the annotation of a GenBank genome assembly. Lineage: Eukaryota; Metazoa; Mollusca; Bivalvia; Unionida; Unionidae.